This 789-nucleotide ribosomal RNA is filed under the name Triticum aestivum (bread wheat). RNAcentral describes it as "partial small subunit ribosomal RNA". The record is from RNAcentral. Lineage: Eukaryota; Viridiplantae; Streptophyta; Magnoliopsida; Poales; Poaceae.
AUGGGGCCUCCUUCUCAAGAACCAAACCCAACAAAAGACGUGUGCGAUCUAGCUCGUACCGCGGAGAAGCCAAGUUGCAACAGGCGCCCUCUGGCGUUCAGCUCUCAGGAGACGCCUCCAGCUGCCGACUUCACCGAGCCUCAGAUAGGCGAGGUGCGAAAUAUUAUCAGCCCCAACACACUCAAGAAGGCGGUCUGUGAGCAGAACUCGGUCCCAUUACAGGAGAAGAAGAAGGCACGCAAAAGAAAGACUAAGAAGGGUGCGAGCCAGCCGGCACCGAGUACGAUCCGUGCUCAGGACGGGCCACCUUCACCGCAGGAUAUCUCGAGGAGGGUGCAUGUGGCGGGUAGGGCGAUGCUACCACCAAAUAUGCUCAAUGCUGCAACCGGUGCUAUGUGGAGUCUGCACGACAGUGUUCUUUCUUUGGAGAAGCGGCAUCUCAGAGAGAAGGAUGUGGCAUACCCGGUUUUCGUGGCCAAGGUGCCAGAGGGCAAGGGCUUUGUGGAUGGCGACAUCGGGGGUACGAUCGUCCUGCGGUUUGAUGACAUCUUUGCUAUGUUUAACCUUCAUCCGCUGCACUACACCUUCGUUCGGCUAUUUUCGCUGAGUAUGGAGAUGCGGAUCAUUCGCGACAAGACCCCGGACAUCGUGAUAGUCGACCCCUUCUACAUGUGUGCCAAGAUCUUGGGUAGCGCUGGGGACCGGCAAGUCGCGAGUUCUUACCUCGAAGGCGUCAUUCUGGCAAACCAAGAUAAGGAUAACUUCCUCGUGCCUUACUUUCCUGAGUAA